GACGUAGGGCGCGAGCGUUGUCCGGAUUUAUUGGGCGUAAAGAGCUUGUAGGCGGUUUGUCGCGUCUGCUGUGAAAUUUCGGGGCUCAACCCCGAACUUGCAGUGGGUACGGGCAGACUAGAGUGUGGUAGGGGAGACUGGAAUUCCUGGUGUAGCGGUGAAAUGCGUAGAUAUCGGGAGGAACACCAGUGGCGAAGGCGACUUCCUGGCCUGUUCUUGACGCUGAGGCGCGAAAGCUAGGGGAGCAAACGGG
RNAcentral lists this ribosomal RNA (253 nucleotides) under uncultured bacterium. RNAcentral describes it as "partial 16S ribosomal RNA". It matches the Rfam family "Bacterial small subunit ribosomal RNA", at positions 524 to 776 of the family's 1533-position model. The record is from RNAcentral.